GACAGAGGUGCCAAGCGUUAGGCGGAAUCACUGGGCUUAAAGCGUGUGUAGGCGGGUCGUUAAGUGUCUUGUGAAAUCCCCCGGCUCAACCGGGGAAUGGCUGGGCAUACUGGCGAUCUUGAGCAGUUCAGGGGCAGAUGGAACAAGUGGUGGAGCGGUGAAAUGCGUAGAUAUCACUUGGAACGCCAAAGGUGAAAACAGUCUGCUGGGCCGACACUGACACUGAGAGACGAAAGCUAGGGGAGCGAAUGGG
This 253-nucleotide ribosomal RNA is filed under the name uncultured bacterium. RNAcentral describes it as "partial 16S ribosomal RNA". It matches the Rfam family "Bacterial small subunit ribosomal RNA", at positions 524 to 776 of the family's 1533-position model. The record is from RNAcentral.